CCUACGGGUGGCUGCAGUAGGGAAUCUUGCGCAAUGGGCGAAAGCCUGACGCAGCGACGCCGCGUGAGGGAAGAAGGCCUUCGGGUCGUAAACCUCUGUCCUUGGGGACGAUGAUGACGGUACCCAAGGAGGAAGCCCCGGCUAACUACGUGCCAGCAGCCGCGGUAAUACGUAGGGGGCGAGCGUUGUCCGGAAUCACUGGGCGUAAAGGGUGCGUAGGCGGCUUGGCAAGUCCUGUGUGAAAGGUCGCGGCUCAACCGCGGUGGGUCAUGGGAAACUGCCAAGCUCGAGUGCCGGAGAGGAUAGCGGAAUUCCCGGUGUAGCGGUGAAAUGCGUAGAGAUCGGGAGGAACACCAGUGGCGAAGGCGGCUAUCUGGAAGGUCACUGACGCUGAGGCACGAAAGCUGGGGGAGCAAACAGGAUUAGAUACCCUGGUAGUC
RNAcentral lists this ribosomal RNA (440 nucleotides) under uncultured bacterium. RNAcentral describes it as "bacterial SSU rRNA". It matches the Rfam family "Bacterial small subunit ribosomal RNA", at positions 338 to 795 of the family's 1533-position model. The record is from RNAcentral.